AUUGGAUGAGCCCGCGGCCUAUUAGCUAGUUGGUAGGGUAACAACCUACCAAGGCGACGAUGGGUAGCCGGCCUGAGAGGGUGUACGGCCACACUGGAACUUAGACACGGUCCAGACUCCUACGGGAGGCAGCAGUGGGGAAUUUUGCGCAAUGGGCGAAAGCCUGACGCAGCGACGCCGCGUGGAGGAUUAAGGCCUUCGGGUUGUAAACUCCUGUCAGAGGUGAAGAAAGUCUCCUUCGGGAGGCCUGGCGGUAACCUCAGAGGAAGCCCCGGCUAACUACGUGCCAGCAGCCGCGGCCGAAU
This 305-nucleotide ribosomal RNA is filed under the name uncultured actinomycete. Its description in RNAcentral is "bacterial SSU rRNA". It matches the Rfam family "Bacterial small subunit ribosomal RNA", at positions 220 to 526 of the family's 1533-position model. The record is from RNAcentral. Lineage: Bacteria; Bacillati; Actinomycetota; Actinomycetes; Actinomycetales.